UUCGAAAGAAAGAUUAAUACCCGAUGGUAUAAUCAGACCGCAUGGUCUUGUUAUUAAAGAAUUUCGGUUAUCGAUGGGGAUGCGUUCCAUUAGGCAGUUGGUGAGGUAACGGCUCACCAAACCUUCGAUGGAUAGGGGUUCUGAGAGGAAGGUCCCCCACAUUGGAACUGAGACACGGUCCAAACUCCUACGGGAGGCAGCAGUGAGGAAUAUUGGUCAAUGGGCGCAGGCCUGAACCAGCCAAGUAGCGUGAAGGAUGACUGCCCUAUGGGUUGUAAACUUCUUUUAUAUGGGAAUAAAGUUUUCCACGUGUGGAAUUUUGUAUGUACCAUAUGAAUAAGGAUCGGCUAACUCCGUGCCAGCAGCCGCGGUAAUACGGAGGAUCCGAGCGUUAUCCGGAUUUAUUGGGUUUAAAGGGAGCGUAGGUGGACAGUUAAGUCAGUUGUGAAAGUUUGCGGCUCAACCGUAAAAUUGCAGUUGAUACUGGCUGUCUUGAGUACAGUAGAGGUGGGCGGAAUUCGUGGUGUAGCGGUGAAAUGCUUAGAUAUCACGAAGAACUCCGAUUGCGAAGGCAGCUCACUGGACUGCAACUGACACUGAUGCUCGAAAGUGUGGGUAUCAAACAGGAUUAGAUACCCUGGUAGUCCACACAGUAAACGAUGAAUACUCGCUGUUUGCGAUAUACAGUAAGCGGCCAAGCGAAAGCAUUAAGUAUUCCACCUGGGGAGUACGCCGGCAACGGUGAAACUCAAAGGAAUUGACGGGGGCCCGCACAAGCGGAGGAACAUGUGGUUUAAUUCGAUGAUACGCGAGGAACCUUACCCGGGCUUAAAUUGCAUUUGAAUAUACUGGAAACAGUAUAGCCGUAAGACAAAUGUGAAGGUGCUGCAUGGUUGUCGUCAGCUCGUGCCGUGAGGUGUCGGCUUAAGUGCCAUAACGAGCGCAACCCUUAUCUUUAGUUACUAACAGGUCAUGCUGAGGACUCUAGAGAGACUGCCGUCGUAAGAUGUGAGGAAGGUGGGGAUGACGUCAAAUCAGCACGGCCCUUACGUCCGGGGCUACACACGUGUUACAAUGGGGGGUACA
This 1086-nucleotide ribosomal RNA is filed under the name Bacteroides thetaiotaomicron. Its description in RNAcentral is "bacterial SSU rRNA". It matches the Rfam family "Bacterial small subunit ribosomal RNA", at positions 150 to 1241 of the family's 1533-position model. Lineage: Bacteria; Pseudomonadati; Bacteroidota; Bacteroidia; Bacteroidales; Bacteroidaceae. The record is from RNAcentral.